RNAcentral lists this long non-coding RNA (1031 nucleotides) under Sarcophilus harrisii (Tasmanian devil). RNAcentral's name for it is "lncRNA (ENSSHAG00000027262.1)". Lineage: Eukaryota; Metazoa; Chordata; Mammalia; Dasyuromorphia; Dasyuridae. The record is from RNAcentral.
CUUUGAGCCGCAUGGAAAAGCCACAGACAUCCCCCGCCCUCAGGGAACUCGCAGUCUUUGAGGGGAGACCGCGCGCAAACCACUCUGAACAGACAAGAGCCAAGUAGGAUAAAAUAGGGACGCCAGCAUAUCCUCCUUGAUCUUGGAGCUCUGGAGUAUGGCUGUAAUAUUCCUGGGAAUUUUCAUAUUGGGAUCUCUUUUAGAAGGGAGAGGAAGAGAAUAAACAUUUAUAUAAUGCCAAGAACUUGUUAAGAGCUUUUUACAAAUAUGAUCUCAUUUUAGCUUCACAACAACCCUUCAAGGAUCAGAUGAUGGUGACUGGAUGUGACAGGUUGCCCUAUUCCUUUGGCAGCCACUAUGGAAAUAAACCCUCAAGAAGGAAUUUUUUCCCACAAGAUCAUUUUCAGAAAGGGUCCAGGCCUAAGUUGAGAAGGAGUGGUCUCAGCUUGUUGAGAAUUGGUGUACACGAACUGAUGCUGAGUGAAAUGAGCAGGACCAGGAGAUCAUUAUAUACUUCAACAACAAUACUAUAUGAUGACCAGUUCUGAUGGACCUGGCCAUCCUCAGCAAGGAGAUCAACCAAAUCAUUUCCAAUGGAGCAGUAAUGAACUGAACCAGCUAUGCCCAGAGAAAGAACUCUGGGUGAUAACUAAAAACAAUUACAUUGAACUCCCAAUCCCUAUAUUUAUGCCCACCUGCAUUUUUGAUUUCCUUCACAAGCUAAUUGUACAAUAUUUCAGAGUCUGAUUCUUUUUGUACAGCAAAAUAACGGUUUGGUCAUGUAUACUUAUUGUGUAUCUAAUUUAUAUUUUAAUAUAUUUAACAUCUACUGGUCAUCCUGCCAUCUGGGGGAGGACGUGGGGGGUAAGAGGUGAAAAAUUGGAACAAGAGGUUUGGCAAUUGUUAAUGCUGUAAAAUUACCCAUACAUAUAACCUGUAAAUAAAAGGCUAUUAAAUAAAUAAAAAUAAAUAAAUAAAUAAAAAAGAGAAUUGGUGUACAUUGCUUAAUAAAUCAAAAUACUUGGAAGCUU